UUAUACAGUCUGUGGUCGAGGUGGGCGGAGGCCAAAUUUUUUUAUUGAAAUUGAAAAAGUUACAGACGCGGGAAAGGAGAACAAAGGAACAGAGCAAGCGCAGCAUUGUUUUUUUAAGCUGUGAAGUAUCACAGUACACAUGAAGAUUUAUUGCAAAAAUAAGGUUCAAAUUAGCUAUUCAGAUGUAUUUUCUUGUUUAUAAGCUAAAAUAAAUAAAGUAUAUUUUUUAUCAUGAUGUCAUCAUGUAAUAAUUGAUAUAUUAUUGGUGUGUGCGUGUGAGUAAGAGAGAGAGAGGGAGGGGUGUGAGAGAUGUGUCGAAAGCCAGUAGAGGCUUUUAUGGUAGAAAAUAUUGGUUAUAUAGAUACACCUCCUUAUGUAUAAAAACAGUAGUGUUGAAACUCAAUUUUGCUCUUGUGUUUCUGUCUGAGAACAGAGACAACAGAGAGAGAGAAAGAGAGAGAAGAAGAGAGAGAGAAAGAGAAGACGAGUGAGUGAGAGAGAGAGAGAGAAGAGACGAGAGAGAAGAAGUGAGAGAAGACAAGAGAGAGAAAGAGAGAAGUGAGAGAAAGAGAGAGAGGAAGUGAGAGAAAGAGAGAGAAGAAAAGAGAGAAGACGAGAGAGAAGAAGUGAGAGAAAGAGAGAGAAGACAAGAGAGAAGAAGAGAGAGAAGACAAGAGAGAGAAAGAGAGAAGAAGUGAGAGAAAGAGAGAGAGGAAGUGAGAGAAAGAGAGAGAAGAAAAGAGAGAAGACGAGAGAGAAGAAGUGAGAGAGAGAGAGAGGAAGUGAGAGAAGAAAAGAGAGAAGACGAGAGAGAAGAAGUGAGAGAAAGAGAGAGAAGACAAGAGAGAAGAAGAGAGAGAAGAAGAGAGAGAGAGAGAAGAAGUGAGAGAGAGGGGAAGUGAGAGAAAGAGAGAGAAGAAAAGAGAAGACGAGAGAGAAGAAGUGAGAGAAAGAGAGAAGACAAGAGAGAGAAAGAGAGAGAAGAAGUGAGAGAGAGAGAGAAGUGAGAGAGAGAGAGGAAGUGAGAGAGAGAUAAGAAGAGAGAGAAGACAAGAGAGAGAAAGAGAGAAGAAGUGAGAGAAAGAGAGAGAGGAAGUGAGAGAAAGAGAGAGAGGAAAAGAGAGAAGACGAGAGAGAAGAAGUGAGAGAAAGAGAGAGAAGACAAGAGAGAAGAAGAGAGAUAAGACGAGAGAGAAGACAAGAGAGAGAAGAAGAGAGAGAGAGAGAGAGAGAGAGAAGUGAGAGAGAGAGAAGAGACAAGAGAGAAAGAGAAGACGAGUGAGAGAAAGAGAGAGAAGACAAGAGAGAGAAGAAGUGAGAGAGAGAGAAGAGACGAGAGAAAGAGAAGACGAGUGAGAGAAAGAGAGAGAAGACAAGAGAGAGAAGAAGUGAGAGAGAGAGAAGAGACAAGAGAGAAAGAGAAGACGAGUGAGAGAAAGAGAGAAGAGACAAGAGAGAAAGAGAGAGAAGAAGUGAGAGAGAGAGAGAAGAAGUGAGAGAGAGAGAGAAGAAGUGAGAGAGAGAGGGGAAGUGAGAGAAAGAGAGAGAAGACAAGAGAGAGAAAGAGAGAGAGAAUACGAGAGAGAGAGAGACAUAAGGUAGGCAAGGGGUGUGGGUGUGUGAGAGAGAGAUUUGCUUUUAUUCCUUUACAGGUGCAUCAAGAUGGUUAAAAACAAUGCUUUGGUUUAAGGUAAGUAUAUUUGUGAGUUAGCAUGUGAUAAAUUCAUUUGUGCUUGUUGAUGCAACAUGAAAUGAAAUACCUAUAAAAAUGUUACUGUAAUUUCUGAAAUAAUAUGCCUCUUUUAGAUGCCUAACAUCAGACAGCUGCCCCAGAGGGAGAGGAAGACGAGGAAGUGGACCCCGGAGGCCAUGGGAGAGGCCAUCCAGGAGGUGAAAGCAGGCAGGCUGAGUCUGGGGCAGGCAGCCAAACAGUUUGGGGUCCCAAAAACGAGUCUGACUGUGUGCACAGUCAGAGGCCACUUCUCACCCCUGCAGAUGAAGAUUCCCUGGUGGAGUACUGCAUUUACUCUGCCAGUCAUGGUUUUCCACUGAUAAAGCCUCAGGUUCAGUCUUUUGCGACAGCAAUUUAUAAUCAGCGCUGUCCAGAAGAGAGAAGGGGGAAGUUGGGCCAGACGGGGUGGCUCAACUUCCGCAGGAGGCAAGGCCAGCGCUUCACUUCUCGGACCCCAGACAAUAUUGACCGUGGGAGGGCAUCCUGUGCCAAGAGGGGGCCGAUUGAAGAUUACUUCAGGCUCCUCACUACCACCAUGGAGGAGCACGGGUUGAGGGAGAAACCCCGUCAAGUCUAUAACUGCGAUGAGACGGGGUUUCAGCUGGACUCGUCGAGAAGAAAGGUCCUCGUGCCCCGGGGGACAAAACAUGCUUACAGGCAGGCCCAGGGGACCAGGGACCACGUCACCGUCCUGGCCUGCCUCAACGCAGCUGGGGAGGAUAUCCCCCCUUUCAUAAUUUACAAGGGGGGAUAUCCCGGGGGGCCCUAUAACAAGGAGGGGGUCCCCGAUGCCCUCUACGGGAAGUCACCGGCAGGGUACAUGGACAGUGAGCUGUUCAGGAAGUGGUUUGUCGGGCAUUUCCUGAAGUUCGCCGCUGAGGAGCGCCCGCUGCUGCUUGUUUUUGAUGGGCACAAAUCCCACCUGGAUCCAGAGCUGGUCCGGGUGGCACAGAGGGAGGAGGUCAUUCUCCUGUGCCUUCCACCACACACAUCUCACAUCCUGCAGCCUCUGGAUAUGAGUUUCUUUGGACCCUUGAAGGCAGAUUUCUCUGGAAUUACAGGAGAUCUGUCGGUAAUGAGCCACUCCUUGGUUUCCAAGAAGGAGUUUUCAAGGGUCCUUAGGGACUCAUAUCAGAGGGUGAAGGAUCGGGGAGUGGUGGUGGCUGGGUUCAGGAAGUGUGGCCUCUACCCUCUGGACCCGGAAGCCAUUGGUCACGGGUCAUGCCAUCCGGACCGCGGCGUGGGACCUCCUCGCCACCUCUGCCAACCCCAUCAGCAUCUUCCUGGGCCAUGCCUGAUGUUACCCCCCCAUCCCAACACCCCCCCCCACACCAGAGUCCACCCCCUGUCCCUAGUUCACCCCCUGUCCCGUGUCCACCCCCGUUCCUUGUCCACCCCCUGUCCCUUGUCCACCCAAUCCCUACUCUACCCAUCCCCUGGUAACAUCAGGCAGGAUCUCAGUAGACCUGGCCCACCUCCUGCCCGAGGUGCGUUAUAAUACCACCAAGGUCAAGAGGAAUACCACCAAGGCCAGGAUACUGACGGCUCAGGAGAUGUCUGAUGCCAUCGAGGAGGCGGAGGACCGUGCUGCAAGGCGGGAGGCCCAAGCUCUGGCCAGAGAGCAGCGGCGGGCCGAAAACAACGGCCCGACAGCCACUUCCUCUACCCUGCCUGGUGGCUCCCGUCCCAGCCACAGAACAGCAUCCCACGGGGCUGCCUCGGCCUCCUGCUCCGGCCUUUCCAUCGCCGGUCCCUCAACCCGCUCGGCCCCCUCUAGUGCCUCCCACGGUCACCAGCUGCCUGCCCCUAGCGGAACAUCCCCACCUAGCCUGCCUGCACCUGGCUGGCUACUGGAUGAGCCAUCAACAUCUGCCUUCGGCCUCCGAGGGUCCAGAUUGUCUUCCUCUCCCUCCCAAUCCUGCAGACAGACAGCUGCGCCAUUGUCCAGCUCCUCCCAGCCGUCUGCUGGACCCACGGCAUCCACUGGUAUUGUAUUUAACAUUAACAGUCUUUGUGUGCCAUCCCAUGAUAUUCAAAACAUGUUCUUAAAUAUAUUUUUUCUAUGAGUAGGUCACACCAAUAUGGAAGAUCUGUGUGGCCAGUGCAGGGAACCUGACCCUCCGGGUGUCUGCUCGGAGGGAUUGGUGCCGUGGGUCCAGUGCAACAAAUGUGCCAAAUGGUUUCACACCAUUUGUGUCGGCUGGGAGGAGCUGGACAAAGAUGAAUUUUGGUGUUUUUGGUGCCUUGAUAUGUUUGAUAAGUUUGUUAUUUAAUUUGUUUUUAAUUUGAUUAUCCGAUAUCUAUUUGUUUGUAUAUAUUGUAAAUAUUGUAUAUAUUGUAAAUAUUGCUGUUUUUCAAUUUAGUAAAAUAUUUUUCAUGUCAUGUCAUUUGUCUUUUGAUUAAAUAAUAUAAUUGUAUGCAUGAACAUUUAUUUGUUAUAUUAUGCUACAUACUAACUCUGCACUGAGUCCAUUACAGGUAAUUGUUAAAUAAUUGCUAAAUUAAAUGCAUCAGCUUGUAUUUUAAAUGAGAAGUGUUUAACAAAAUAUCCAGUAGGUGGCGGUAUAGCGGUAUAACUGCAUAAAUUAGAGUUGUUACUUGUUAAAGCAUUGUAUCUUAUUUUGAAGGAGGAAAGUACGAUCCCAGAUGAGUUGAUGUUAGUUUGUCAGUCUCAGGAACAACUUAAUACCCCCACAACACCGGCAGCGUUCAAUGUUUACAGCGGGCGGACGCUGCCGUUCGACUCGGGACACCGGCAGCUCACGGCUAAAUCACCGGUGUUAGCAUCCUUUUACCGACUCUAGUAAAGACCGAGCAAAAGUAAAUGUUUAAAACGAUACACGGUUAGAAAGGUAAGAAGUUCGUCUUUACUUUAGCACCUUAAAAUCAACCGAAACCAUUACAUGAUCAUUUAACUUAGUAGUUAAAGGGAAUUCAUAUCGAAUAUUAGCAUGAAAAUCGUUCGGGUUAGGGUUCCGGUACGUUAGAACCUGACUCAUCUAGAACAUUAUGAACCCAAAGAAACCUCUAGAACCCCUGAGACAUUGAGAAUGUGUUGGAUACCCACAAAUCAACACAAAGAGAACCGUCUAGCAUCUAGAACCCAGAAUUACAGACAGAGAGGAUUCAGGGUGAAUGCACAGGAACAUCCAGAAGAAAACCUCUGUGGUUUUUAUCAGAUACAAUGGUUCUCCUCCCACCGGUGUUUUCCUAUUGGUUAUUGUGAUGACUGAUAGUUUGUGUGU
RNA transcript from Dicentrarchus labrax (European seabass), 4977 nucleotides. RefSeq lists it as uncharacterized. The transcript has 3 exons. Lineage: Eukaryota; Metazoa; Chordata; Actinopteri; Moronidae. The record is from RefSeq and is a predicted model, not a curated record.